UACGGAGGGUGCAAGCGUUAUCCGGAAUUACUGGGCGUAAAGCGUGCGCAGGCGGUUAUGUAAGACAGAUGUGAAAUGCCCGGGCUUAACCUGGGAACUGCAUUUGUGACUGCAUGGCUAGAGUUUGGCAGAGGGGGGUAGAAUUCCACGUGUAGCAGUGAAAUGCGUAGAUAUGUGGAGGAACACCGAUGGCGAAGGCAGCCCCCUGGGUCAAGACUGACGCUCAUGCACGAAAGGCGUGGGGAGCAAACAGG
Molecule: ribosomal RNA, 254 nt
Filed under: uncultured bacterium
Lineage: Bacteria
Description: partial 16S ribosomal RNA
Rfam family: Bacterial small subunit ribosomal RNA
Source: RNAcentral